This is a long non-coding RNA of Stegastes partitus (bicolor damselfish), 249 nucleotides long. RefSeq lists it as uncharacterized. NCBI's taxonomy places the organism in Eukaryota, Metazoa, Chordata, Actinopteri, Pomacentridae. The record is from RefSeq and is a predicted model, not a curated record. The transcript has 3 exons.
UGCGUGGAAACAGAGCGACUCGCAUCUUUGUGCUGCAACUUUAUUCCUCCCCACAGAAGUAAGAAAGCAAAGAAAGCAUCGGAAGGGAUUCUAGAGCUGUGGGACCAGAUCCACCACCUUUGAGAGUCAACCCUCAUUUACAGCUGGGCUGCUACUGUCAGACCGGGUUGGAGGACAAUCAAGUCCAACUGCUGCUGCCACUGCUGGUGUGUUUUGUGUGGUGUGGACUUUCUCACGUUGCGGUGGACC